AGUGAACGCUGGCGGUAGGCCUAACACAUGCAAGUCGAACGGCAGCACAGUAAGAGCUUGCUCUUACGGGUGGCGAGUGGCGGACGGGUGAGGAAUACAUCGGAAUCUACUUUUUCGUGGGGGAUAACGUAGGGAAACUUACGCUAAUACCGCAUACGACCUACGGGUGAAAGCAGGGGAUCUUCGGACCUUGCGCGAUUGAAUGAGCCGAUGUCGGAUUAGCUAGUUGGCGGGGUAAAGGCCCACCAAGGCGAAGAUCCGUAGCUGGUCUGAGAGGAUGAUCAGGCACACUGGAAAUGAGACAAGGUCCAGACUCCCAAGGGAGGCAGCAGUGGGGAAUAUUGGACAAUGGGCGCAAGCCUGAUCCAGCCAUACCGCGUGGGUGAAGAAGGCCUUCGGGUUGUAAAGCCCUUUUGUUGGGAAAGAAAAGCAGCAGGUUAAUACCCCGCUGUUCUGACGGUACCCAAAGAAUAAGCACCGGCUAACUUCGUG
RNAcentral lists this ribosomal RNA (492 nucleotides) under uncultured bacterium. RNAcentral describes it as "partial 16S ribosomal RNA". It matches the Rfam family "Bacterial small subunit ribosomal RNA", at positions 29 to 507 of the family's 1533-position model. The record is from RNAcentral.